UUGUCUAAUAUAGUGGUCCAUGGCUUAUAGUGGGUGACUUUAACAGUGUGUUAGGAGUGGAUGAAAGACUUAAUGGGCAACCAGUACACCAAUCAGAGAUGGCUGACUUUCAAUGCUGCAUUGAUGAUAUUGGAGUAGGACAGAUUACCAAAAGAGGAAAGAGAUUCUCUUGGAGCAAUAAGAGAGAUGGUGAACACAUGAUUUACAGUCAUAUCGACUGGGCUUUUGGUAAUGCUGAGUGAUUCAAUACUUACACUGGAGUGGAAGCAGUAUCCAUGCUGCUUGGAUGCUCAGUUACACACCCCUAAUGAUAGACACUGAAGUUGCAAAAACCAAAGUGCACAGAUCAUACAGAUUACUCACAACAGUUAUGCAGCAAGAGGGUUACAGGGAAGUAGUUCAGGGAGUUUAGAGCCAACGGCACCAAGGCUACACUAUGCACUCUAUUUGGAGCAAACUGAAAAAACUUGAACAAACUACCAGACACAUUCACAAGGAACACUCCUCUGUUGAGAAGAAACUGCAACAAAUGAGAGAAGAACUGAAUGUAACACAAAGCAGACUGAAUGAAGACCAUUCCAACAAACAGGAGAUCCAAAAAGAAAAUUAGUUCUUACAGGACAUUGAAAAAUGGGAAGCAGUUCAAGAACAAAUACUGAGGCAGAAAUCAAGAGCCAGUUGGAUCCAACUGGGAGAUAACAAUACAAAAUACUUCCAUGCCUACAUGAAAUGAGGCAGAAAUCAAGAGCAAGUUGGAUCCAACUGGGAGAUCAAAAUACAAAAUACUUCCAUGCAUACAUGAAAUCCAGACAAGCAAGAAAUAAGGUGAGUUGUAUCCUUACAGAUAACCAGAUGAAGCUUACCGAUCCACAGCAGAUUCAACAACAAUUCACCUAGUUCUUUCACAAGUUACUAGGUACAGCAGCAGCUCAGCUACCAGGCAUUGACAUCAAUGUGGCCAGAGAUGGACCCUGCCUAACACUGCAUCAACAGCAGCAACUCUUGGUACCAGUAACAGAAAAGGAGAUCCACCAGAUUAUGCAGAACCUUCCUCAGGAUAAGACUCCAGGUAUUGAUGGCUAUCAUGCAGAAUUCUUUAAAGAAUUUUGGCCAAUUGUG
This 1119-nucleotide long non-coding RNA is filed under the name Nicotiana benthamiana. RNAcentral describes it as "long non-coding RNA (NBEN_LNC005151)". The record is from RNAcentral. Lineage: Eukaryota; Viridiplantae; Streptophyta; Magnoliopsida; Solanales; Solanaceae.